Long non-coding RNA from Pseudophryne corroboree (corroboree frog), 537 nucleotides. RefSeq lists it as uncharacterized. NCBI's taxonomy places the organism in Eukaryota, Metazoa, Chordata, Amphibia, Anura, Myobatrachidae. The transcript has 5 exons. The record is from RefSeq and is a predicted model, not a curated record.
GGUACUGAGCUUCUGCUGCAGAUUCACAGAAAGGUUCCCUAUCUAAGUGAUUUUUCUGUACCUGGGUAUCCGAAUUUUUCUUUUACAAGUUUUCUCACUAUAAGGCCAAACUGGUUGUAUACCAGAAAGCCCCAGUGAUAUAUGGGAUUUCCCACCAAGCACGUAUGAACGAGUCUUAUCGUAUUUUACUGUUCGUAUAAACAACUGUACAUUCCAGUCACUCGAGAUGUGCCCCUGAUGAAGUCUUUUGUAUAAGACGAAACGCGUUGGUUUAUCUGUAUUGUGAUGUUAUCUCCGAACCAACCAUAAGGAGAAGGAGGAGACUGUUGUCAAUCACCUACAAUUGUAUUCGGACAACGCUAAAAAUGUACCCCUGAUGAAGUCUUUUGUAUAAGACGAAACGCGUUGGAUUAUCUGUAUUGUGAUGUUAUCUCCGAACCAACUAUAAGGAGAAGGAGGAGACUGUUGUCAAUCACCUACAAUUGUAUUCGGACAACGCUAAGAGUCAUACUGCUUAAAGUGUGGAAUAACACAUCU